UUACUCGUUUAUCCUGCGAGAGAUCGCUGCUAUCAGGAUGCGAUUUAGGCAUGCAAGUCUGCCUUCGGGCGGCGAACUGCUCAGUAACACGUCGAUAAUCUACCGUAUUGUCCGGGAUAACCUUGGGAAACUGAGGGUAAGACCGGAUAGCGAACUUGGUGUGGAAUUUCUCUUGUUCGUUAAAGGUAACGCAGUACGAUGAGUCGGCGGCGGAUUAGGUCGUUGGUGAGGUAAAGGCUCACCAAGCCGAAGAUCCGUAGGGGCCAUGAGAGUGGGAGCCCCGAGAAGGGAACUGAGACACAGUCCCUAGCCCUAAGGGGUGCAGCAGCUACGAAACCUUUACAAUGCGCGAAAGCGUGAUAAGGGUAUCCUGAGUGCUUGCGUUUACGCGUAAGCUUUUUGCAAGGGUAAAUACCUUGCAGAAUAAGUGAUGGGCAAGACCGGUGCCAGCCGCCGCGGUAACACCGGCGUCACAAGUGGCGAUCACUAUUAUUGGGUCUAAAGCAUCCGUAGCCGGCUUCGUACAUGCCCUGUGAAAUCGUUGUGCUUAACAUAACGACGUGCAAGGUACACGGCGAGGCUUGAGACCGGGAGAAGUUGACGGUAUUCCAGGGGGAGCGGUAAAAUGUUAUAAUCCCUGGAGGACCACCAAUGGCGAAGGCAGUCAACUAGAACGGAUCUGACGGUGAGGGAUGAAAGCUAGGGGAGCGAUCGGGAUUAGAUACCCCAGUAGUCCUAGCUGUAAACGCUGCGAGCCAGAUGUUGCACCAUCCCCGUGAUGGUGCAGUGUCGUAAUGAAGAUGGUAAGCUCGCCACCUGGGAAGUACGGUCGCAAGGCUGAAACUUAAAGGAAUUGGCGGGGGAGCACUACAAGGGGUGCGGCGUGCGGUUUAAUCCAAUUCAACACGGAGAAUCUCACCAGAGCCGACGGCAGGAUGAUAGACAGUCUGAAGGGCUUUCUUGACGAGCCGAGAGGAGGUGCAUGGCCAUCGUCAGCUCGUGCUGUGAAGUGUCCUGUUAAGUCAGGCAACGAGCGAGACCCGUGCGUCCAGUUGCUAACGUAUCUGCAAAGAUGAGCGAGUACACCGGACGGACUGCCCUCGAAAGAGGGAGGAAGGUGCGGGCUACGGUAAGUCUGUAUGCCCCGAAUGCUCUGGGCUACACGCGCGCAACAAUGAUAACGACAAUCGGAUGCAACACCGAAAGGUGAAGCCAAUCCUUCAAACGUUAUCCCAGUACAGAUUGGGGGUUGCAACCCACCCUCAUGACGCCGGAAUCCCUAGUAAUCAGAGUUUAGCAAACUCCGGUGAAUACGUCCCUGCUCCUUGCACACACCGCCCGUCAAACCAACCGAGCAGGCUUGUGGUGAGCCGCAUUGAGUAAAUGCGUCGAACCUUAGGUCAGUGAGGUGGGUUAAGUCGUCACAAGGUAUCCGUAGGGGAACCUGCGGAUGGAUCACCUCCU
RNAcentral lists this ribosomal RNA (1464 nucleotides) under Candidatus Woesearchaeota archaeon. Its description in RNAcentral is "bacterial SSU rRNA". It matches the Rfam family "Archaeal small subunit ribosomal RNA". The record is from RNAcentral. Lineage: Archaea; Nanobdellati; Candidatus Woesearchaeota.